Molecule: ribosomal RNA, 403 nt
Filed under: uncultured bacterium
Lineage: Bacteria
Description: partial 16S ribosomal RNA
Rfam family: Bacterial small subunit ribosomal RNA
Source: RNAcentral
AUUGAACGCUGGCGGCAGGCCUAACACAUGCAAGUCGAGCGCGCGGCGGAGGGGUGAGAAAAGUAUGGGGACUGUCCGAGAGAGGGGGGUAACUACUGGAAACGGUAGCUCAAAUCCCAUACUACCGGAGAAUGCAAAUGGGAUUAGCUAGUAGGUGAGGUAAUGGGUCACCUAGGCGAUGAUCCCUAGCUGGUCUGAGAGGAUGAUCAGCCACACUGGAACUGAGACACGGCCCAGACUCCGACGGAGGCAGCAGUGGGGAAUAUUGCACAAUGGGCGCAAGCCUGAUGCAGCCAUGCCGCGUGUAUGAAGAAGGCCCUAGGGUUGUAAAGUACUUUCAGUCUGGAGGCGUUACCGACAGAAGAAGCACCGGCUAACUCCGUGCCAGCCGCCGCGGUAAUUC